AGUGUAGGCGGUCAAGCAAGUCAGGGGUGAAGGGCAUCGGCUCAACCGAUGUAAGCCUUUGAAACUGUUUGACUUGAGUGCAGGAGAGGUAAGUGGAAUUCCUAGUGUAGCGGUGAAAUGCGUAGAUAUUAGGAGGAACACCAGUGGCGAAGGCGACUUACUGGACUGUAACUGACGCUGAGGCUCGAAAGCGUGGGGAGCGAACA
Molecule: ribosomal RNA, 206 nt
Filed under: uncultured bacterium
Lineage: Bacteria
Description: partial 16S ribosomal RNA
Rfam family: Bacterial small subunit ribosomal RNA
Source: RNAcentral